This is a long non-coding RNA of Daphnia pulicaria, 166 nucleotides long. RefSeq lists it as uncharacterized. Lineage: Eukaryota; Metazoa; Arthropoda; Branchiopoda; Diplostraca; Daphniidae. The record is from RefSeq and is a predicted model, not a curated record. The transcript has 2 exons.
UUCCGCGGUCUAUAGGAACGUCAAACGCGGCCAGGAAUUGUGUUUGGGAAAACUGUUGAGAUGGAAACGGGCAAGUCAUCUCUCCGCGCCUCGAUCGAUUGAAUAUGCGAGUGGCGCGGAGAAGAUAACAAAAUAAAUCUAUCAAACGGGAUUAUAGUUAUUUUUU